GUAAAAGGUAGAAGGUGAUGCCAUUUGUGUCACCCCUAUUCCCCCAAGCAUUAAUGAUCUUUGCUACAAUGGCCCUUGUUUCCUUCUACAGGGUAGUAAAAGCUUGAGCUUCAACCAAACCGCCCCUCAAAUCCCAAGAACAUCAAAGACCCAUUGUUAUUUUGCUCUGAUCUUCAAUGGGUAUUCCGUAAUCCUCGCUCCCAUUUCAAAAUUUCUCGUGAACUUCAAGGCUUCCUACGCUUCUUCUCCACUCCACUUCACAGGCGGAUACGGAAGAGUGGGUUUGAAACUUUUCGAGUGUUGUUGUUUAUGAAAGGUACUGCUGAGUUUACAUAGUGCUUUGCUUUUUGGCUGUGCACUGUGUAGAGAUUGAGGUUGAAAAAUAGCAUACUUUUGUGAGUACUGUAAA
Molecule: long non-coding RNA, 409 nt
Organism: Ipomoea triloba (trilobed morning glory)
Lineage: Eukaryota; Viridiplantae; Streptophyta; Magnoliopsida; Solanales; Convolvulaceae
Exons: 3
Source: RefSeq, a predicted model, not a curated record